GCUCAACACUAGCAGUUACGAGCGGAAGGUCUUCGGGGUACACGAGCGGCGAACGGGUGAGUAACACGUGGGUGAUCUGCCCUGCACUUCGGGAUAAGCCUGGGAAACUGGGUCUAAUACCGGAUAUGACCUCAGGUUGCAUGACUUGGGGUGGAAAGAUUUAUCGGUGCAGGAUGGGCCCGCGGCCUAUCAGCUUGUUGGUGGGGUAAUGGCCUACCAAGGCGACGACGGGUAGCCGACCUGAGAGGGUGACCGGCCACACUGGGACUGAGACACGGCCCAGACUCCUACGGGAGGCAGCAGUGGGGAAUAUUGCACAAUGGGCGAAAGCCUGAUGCAGCGACGCCGCGUGAGGGAUGACGGCCUUCGGGUUGUAAACCUCUUUCAGCAGGGACGAAGCGCAAGUGACGGUACCUGCAGAAGAAGCACCGGCUAACUACGUGCCAGCAGCCGCGGUAAUACGUAGGGUGCAAGCGUUGUCCGGAAUUACUGGGCGUAAAGAGUUCGUAGGCGGUUUGUCGCGUCGUUUGUGAAAACCAGCAGCUCAACUGCUGGCUUGCAGGCGAUACGGGCAGACUUGAGUACUGCAGGGGAGACUGGAAUUCCUGGUGUAGCGGUGAAAUGCGCAGAUAUCAGGAGGAACACCGGUGGCGAAGGCGGGUCUCUGGGCAGUAACUGACGCUGAGGAACGAAAGCGUGGGUAGCGAACAGGAUUAGAUACCCUGGUAGUCCACGCCGUAAACGGUGGGCGCUAGGUGUGGGUUCCUUCCACGGAAUCCGUGCCGUAGCUAACGCAUUAAGCGCCCCGCCUGGGGAGUACGGCCGCAAGGCU
This 832-nucleotide ribosomal RNA is filed under the name uncultured Actinomycetes bacterium. RNAcentral describes it as "bacterial SSU rRNA". It matches the Rfam family "Bacterial small subunit ribosomal RNA", at positions 46 to 895 of the family's 1533-position model. Lineage: Bacteria; Bacillati; Actinomycetota; Actinomycetes. The record is from RNAcentral.